This 653-nucleotide ribosomal RNA is filed under the name uncultured fungus. RNAcentral's name for it is "eukaryotic LSU rRNA". It matches the Rfam family "Eukaryotic large subunit ribosomal RNA", at positions 24 to 664 of the family's 3401-position model. The record is from RNAcentral. Lineage: Eukaryota; Fungi.
CCCGCUGAACUUAAGCAUAUCAAUAAGCGCAGGAAAAGAAACCAACAGGGAUUACCUCAGUAACGGCGAGUGAAGCGGUAAUAGCUCAAAUUUGAAAUCUGGCCUCUUGGGGUCCGAGUUGUAAUUUGUAGAGGAUGUUUUGGGUACCGCCCCGGUCUAAAUUUCUUGGAACAGAAUGUCAAAGAGGGUGAGAAUCCCGUCUUGGACCGGCGGUAGGGCCUGUGUAAAACUCCUUCGACGAGUCGAGUUGUUUGGGAAUGCAGCUCAAAAUGGGUGGUAAAUUUCAUCUAAAGCUAAAUAUAGGCGAGAGACCGAUAGCGAACAAGUACCGUGAGGGAAAGAUGAAAAGCACUUUGGAAAGAGAGUUAAACAGUACGUGAAAUUGCUGAAAGGGAAACGCUUGAAGUCAGUCACGUCUGCCAGGACUCAGCCUUGCUUCUGCUUGGUGUACUUUCUGGUUUGACGGGCCAACAUCAAUUUUGACCGUUGGAGAAAGGCUUUGGGAAUGUGGCACCCUCGGGUGUGUUAUAGCCCUUUGUCGUAUACAACGGUUGGGAUCGAGGACCGCAGCACGCCUUUAUGGCCGGGGUUCGCCUACGUACGUGCUUAGGAUGUUGGCAUAAUGGCUUUAAGCGACCCGUCUUGAAACACGG